Caenorhabditis elegans is the source of this 219-nucleotide non-coding RNA. NCBI's taxonomy places the organism in Eukaryota, Metazoa, Nematoda, Chromadorea, Rhabditida, Rhabditidae. The record is from Ensembl.
UGAAAUAAACGACAGUAAAGAGUAUUGGGUUGUUUUGAAAAUGUUUUUAAAAAUUAUUUUUACUGUUUCAGAGAGAACUUAUUUUAAACCCGAUUAAAAAAAUCUUAAUGAAGCUGCAGAGAUGAAUCUGAGAUCAAUGAAUAUCCACUUUUCACAAUUUAAUUGAUCACUCAAACUCACUUUCUAUUGGCAACAACCAUUCUGCUUGAUUGAUCGUAA